RNAcentral lists this ribosomal RNA (306 nucleotides) under Triticum aestivum (bread wheat). RNAcentral describes it as "partial small subunit ribosomal RNA". Lineage: Eukaryota; Viridiplantae; Streptophyta; Magnoliopsida; Poales; Poaceae. The record is from RNAcentral.
AGCAAGCGGACCAAUGCAUACACGGCGACCGAGGACAAGCUUCUUUGCGAGUGUUGGAGAGACAUUGGGCAAGACCCCAAGAUGGGCGCCGAACAAAAGCAUUCAACUUUUUGGAUUCAUGUCCACCGUGAGUUCCAUGAGCGCAAGAAGUUUUCGCCGUACCAAAUAGUCAGCGCACGCGGAUGGGUGUCCAUUUCUAGGCGAUGGAGGGUGAUCCAACAAGAGUGCAACAAGUUUUGUGCCACUCUUGAGAGUGUCAAGGCCCGCGCCGUGAGCAGCAUCGGCAUGCAAGACAUGGUAUGCUAG